This 1346-nucleotide ribosomal RNA is filed under the name uncultured bacterium. Its description in RNAcentral is "partial 16S ribosomal RNA". It matches the Rfam family "Bacterial small subunit ribosomal RNA", at positions 28 to 1381 of the family's 1533-position model. The record is from RNAcentral.
GACGAACGCUGGCGGCGUGCUUAACACAUGCAAGUCGAACGGAAAGGCCCUGCUUUUGUGGGGUGCUCGAGUGGCGAACGGGUGAGUAACACGUGAGUAACCUGCCCUUGACUUUGGGAUAACUUCAGGAAACUGGGGCUAAUACCGGAUAGGAGCUCCUGCUGCAUGGUGGGGGUUGGAAAGUUUCGGCGGUUGGGGAUGGACUCGCGGCUUAUCAGCUUGUUGGUGGGGUAGUGGCUUACCAAGGCUUUGACGGGUAGCCGGCCUGAGAGGGUGACCGGCCACAUUGGGACUGAGAUACGGCCCAGACUCCUACGGGAGGCAGCAGUGGGGAAUAUUGCACAAUGGGCGGAAGCCUGAUGCAACAACGCCGCGUGCGGGAUGACGGCCUUCGGGUUGUAAACCGCUUUCGCCUGUGACGAAGCGUGAGUGACGGUAAUGGGUAAAGAAGCACCGGCUAACUACGUGCCAGCAGCCGCGGUGAUACGUAGGGUGCGAGCGUUGUCCGGAUUUAUUGGGCGUAAAGGGCUCGUAGGUGGUUGAUCGCGUCGGAAGUGUAAUCUUGGGGCUUAACCCUGAGCGUGCCUUCGAUACGGGUUGACUUGAGGAAGGUAGGGGAGAAUGGAAUGCCUGGUGGAGCGGUGGAAUGCGCAGAUAUCAGGAGGAACACCAGUGGCGAAGGCGGUUCUCUGGGCCUUUCCUGACGCUGAGGAGCGAAAGCGUGGGGAGCGAACAGGCUUAGAUACCCUGGUAGUCCACGCUGUAAACGGUGGGUACUAGGUGUGGGGUCCAUUCCACGGGUUCCGUGCCGUAGCUAACGCUUUAAGUACCCCGCCUGGGGAGUACGGCCGCAAGGCUAAAACUCAAAGGAAUUGACGGGGCCCCGCACAAGCGGCGGAGCAUGCGGAUUAAUUCGAUGCAACGCGUAGAACCUUACCUGGGUUUGACAUGGAUCGGGAGUGCUCAGAGAUGGGUGUGCCUCUUUUGGGGUCGGUUCACAGGUGGUGCAUGGCUGUCGUCAGCUCGUGUCGUGAGAUGUUGGGUUAAGUCCCGCAACGAGCGCAACCCUUGUUCACUGUUGCCAGCACGUUAUGGUGGGGACUCAGUGGAGACCGCCGGGGUCAACUCGGAGGAAGGUGGGGAUGACGUCAAGUCAUCAUGCCCCUUAUGUCCAGGGCUUCACGCAUGCUACAAUGGCUGGUACAGAGAGUGGCGAGCCUGUGAGGGUGAGCGAAUCUCGGAAAGCCGGUCUCAGUUCGGAUUGGGGUCUGCAACUCGACCUCAUGAAGUCGGAGUCGCUAGUAAUCGCAGAUCAGCAACGCUGCGGUGAAUACGUUCCCGGGGCU